This 1329-nucleotide long non-coding RNA is filed under the name Felis catus (domestic cat). RNAcentral describes it as "lncRNA (ENSFCAG00000049770.1)". Lineage: Eukaryota; Metazoa; Chordata; Mammalia; Carnivora; Felidae. The record is from RNAcentral.
CGUGUCUGCCUGGCCCUAGCAUGGCUUCCCUGUGGCAGGAGCUUGCUUCCAGCCCUUUUGAUUUGGGGUUUGACCAUGUGACCGACUGUGACUUUGGAAUGCAGGUGGGAGGGAGAGCGGGAAACCUGUGAACAGAGUCUUCAAGGCACAUGACAUUUCUCAACUUGCUUUCUUGAGUUGCUAAGUCUCCCAAGGAAAAAGGGAUGUCCUAGGUAGCUAUGGCUCAUUCUACAGGGAUCUCAGAGUGAGAGCACGUGGAGCAAACCUGAAACUGACAGCAAGCCUAGAGCUCGGCCCAGAGCAGCCGGCUGAUCCAUGCACCACAAGUUUGGCCUCUUGGCCUUCCCUGACCUUGACUUCUGGACCAAGCCUUCCCAGGAGAUGAGACGCCCUUCUGUGAAGUUAAGUAGAAGUCACCAGGUAGAUGAAGGGAGAGGGAGUCCAACAACACCAGCACUGGCAACACAGAUGUGUGAAAACAGGAAAUGGAGCCAUAUGCAUCGGGAACUCGGUGAGCCCCUGACGGCUGAGCAGCAAGAGGCUUGAAUAAGAGCCAUCCAAGGCGCCAUCCAAGGCGCUAAGGAGCCAGAAGGACCGGAAGAAUCUUUGAUGCAAACUAGGAAACCUCUGAAAAUGAAUGAUAGUGUGCUAAAUGUUUCUCCUGGGACAACAGGCCUCAGCGGACACAAAUGGUCACCUCGAGUGAACAGCAUCCCUCUGGUAAGAUUAGCCAGGUGAGUGCUUCCCUGCUGCUGUGUCCUGCUUCCUACAACUAUGUGCUUCUUGCCACUCUGCCUCCAGGGACUGGGUUAGUCCUACUGCCCCCCUUGGCUCACUUUUUAUCAAGAGCACACUAGCAAACUACUCUUCGUCAGGCAUCUACUUUUCAACUGUCUGUGUGGUAGAUCGUUACAAAUACUCUCCUUUACCCAUGCCCUUGGUAAGUGCCCUCCCACUGGCUCUGGGCAUGGCCAUGUGACUUGCUUUGGCCAAUGGGACACUGUAGCAAGCAUACUGCAGACAGAUGAUUAAAAAACGCUGGGCACAUUAGGGCACAAUCUCUUGUCGCUUUUUCGAACUUUGUGAUUGUGAUGCAAAUAACCCCAAGGUCCCCUGCUGGAUGAUGAGAGUCCACACGGAAUAGCAAAGGCCAGGGAGGGCCAUCCUAGAACAGGCAAACCCCAGACAGUUUAGCUGUUGAAUACAGACACAUGAGCAAGUCCAUUUAAGAGCAGAAUAUUGAAGCCUGUCCUGAGUUGCUCAUCUACAGAACCAGAGGCUAAAUAUACGGUUCUUGUUUUAGGCCAAUAAAUUGGGAGUCACAUAACA